GCAGUGGUAGCUCAGUGGCUAAACAGUGGACUCCUGAUUGAAAAGUCGUGAGUUCAAAUCCCGGCCACUGUU
Ameiurus melas (black bullhead) is the source of this 72-nucleotide non-coding RNA. NCBI's taxonomy places the organism in Eukaryota, Metazoa, Chordata, Actinopteri, Siluriformes, Ictaluridae. The record is from the annotation of a GenBank genome assembly.